UGAGGAAUAUUGGUCAAUGGGCGCAAGCCUGAACCAGCCAAGUCGCGUGAGGGAAGACGGUCCUACGGAUUGUAAACCUCUUUUGUCGGGGAGUAACGUGCGGGACGGGUCCCGUAUUGAGAGUACCCGAAGAAAAAGCAUCGGCUAAUUCCGUGCCAGCAGCCGCGGUAAUACGGAAGGUCCGGGCGUUAUCCGGAUUUAUUGGGUUUAAAGGGAGCGUAGGCGGGCUAUUAAGUCAGCUGUGAAAUCCGGCGGCUCAACCGUCGGCCUGCAGUUGAUACUGGUGGCCUUGAGUGCGCGCAGGGGCGUUGGAAUUCAUGGUGUAGCGGUGAAAUGCUCAGAUAUCAUGAAGAACUCCGAUCGCGAAGGCAGAUGCCCGGAGCGCAACUGACGCUGAGGCUCGAAAGUGCGGGUAUCAAACAGGAUUAGAUACCCUGGUAGU
This 442-nucleotide ribosomal RNA is filed under the name uncultured Prevotellaceae bacterium. RNAcentral's name for it is "bacterial SSU rRNA". It matches the Rfam family "Bacterial small subunit ribosomal RNA", at positions 355 to 794 of the family's 1533-position model. The record is from RNAcentral. Lineage: Bacteria; Pseudomonadati; Bacteroidota; Bacteroidia; Bacteroidales; Prevotellaceae.